RNAcentral lists this ribosomal RNA (539 nucleotides) under uncultured bacterium. RNAcentral's name for it is "partial 16S ribosomal RNA". It matches the Rfam family "Bacterial small subunit ribosomal RNA", at positions 28 to 523 of the family's 1533-position model. The record is from RNAcentral.
GAUGAACGCUGGCGGUGUGCCUAAUACAUGCAAGUCGUACGCAUUCUCGUUUCUGAUUGACGGUGCUGCACCUAAUUGACGAGACAUUGGAAUGAGUGGCGGACGGGUGAGUAACACGUGGGUAACCUGCCCAGAAGCGGGGGAUAACAUUUGGAAACAGAUGCUAAUACCGCAUAAAAGUCAAAACCACAUGGUUUUGAUUUAAAAGAUGGCCUUUGUGCUAUCACUUCUGGAUGGACCCGCGGCGUAUUAGCUAGUUGGUAAGGUAAUGGCUUACCAAGGCAAUGAUACGUAGCCGAACUGAGAGGUUGAUCGGCCACAAUGGGACUGAGACACGGCCCAUACUCCUACGGGAGGCAGCAGUAGGGAAUCCUCCACAAUGGGCGCAAGCCUGAUGGAGCAACACCGCGUGAGUGAAGAAGGGUUUCGGCUCGUAAAACUCUGUUGUUAAAGAAGAACGUAUCUAAGAGUAACUGCUUAGGUAGUGACGGUAUUUAACCAGAAAGCCACGGCUAACUACGUGCCAGCCGCCGCCGUAA